AAGGUUAUAGUUUUAAAGGUAAAACUCUCGGUUGUCAUCCGGGCAUUAUGGGUUCGACCCCCAUUGAUCUUG
This 72-nucleotide transfer RNA is filed under the name Halichondria okadai. RNAcentral's name for it is "tRNA-Asp". It matches the Rfam family "tRNA". Rfam says of the family: Transfer RNA (tRNA) molecules are approximately 80 nucleotides in length. Their secondary structure includes four short double-helical elements and three loops (D, anti-codon, and T loops). RNAcentral also lists the same sequence under 2 other names. Lineage: Eukaryota; Metazoa; Porifera; Demospongiae; Suberitida; Halichondriidae. The record is from RNAcentral.